GGGUUGUGAGGUUAAGCGACUAAGCGUACACGGUGGAUGCCCUGGCAGUCAGAGGCGAUGAAGGACGUGCUAAUCUGCGAUAAGCGUCGGUAAGGUGAUAUGAACCGUUAUAACCGGCGAUUUCCGAAUGGGGAAACCCAGUGUGAUUCGUCACACUAUCAUUAACUGAAUCCAUAGGUUAAUGAGGCGAACCGGGGGAACUGAAACAUCUAAGUACCCCGAGGAAAAGAAAUCAACCGAGAUUCCCCCAGUAGCGGCGAGCGAACGGGGAGGAGCCCAGAGCCUGAAUCAGUGUGUGUGUUAGUGGAAGCGUCUGGAAAGGCGCGCGAUACAGGGUGACAGCCCCGUACACAAAAAUGCACAUGCUGUGAGCUCGAUGAGUAGGGCGGGACACGUGGUAUCCUGUCUGAAUAUGGGGGGACCAUCCUCCAAGGCUAAAUACUCCUGACUGACCGAUAGUGAACCAGUACCGUGAGGGAAAGGCGAAAAGAACCCCGGCGAGGGGAGUGAAAAAGAACCUGAAACCGUGUACGUACAAGCAGUGGGAGCACAGAGCAAUCUGUGUGACUGCGUACCUUUUGUAUAAUGGGUCAGCGACUUAUAUUCUGUAGCAAGGUUAACCGAAUAGGGGAGCCGAAGGGAAACCGAGUCUUAACUGGGCGUUAAGUUGCAGGGUAUAGACCCGAAACCCGGUGAUCUAGCCAUGGGCAGGUUGAAGGUUGGGUAACACUAACUGGAGGACCGAACCGACUAAUGUUGAAAAAUUAGCGGAUGACUUGUGGCUGGGGGUGAAAGGCCAAUCAAACCGGGAGAUAGCUGGUUCUCCCCGAAAGCUAUUUAGGUAGCGCCUCGUGAAUUCAUCUCCGGGGGUAGAGCACUGUUUCGGCAAGGGGGUCAUCCCGACUUACCAACCCGAUGCAAACUGCGAAUACCGGAGAAUGUUAUCACGGGAGACACACGGCGGGUGCUAACGUCCGUCGUGAAGAGGGAAACAACCCAGACCGCCAGCUAAGGUCCCAAAGUCAUGGUUAAGUGGGAAACGAUGUGGGAAGGCCCAGACAGCCAGGAUGUUGGCUUAGAAGCAGCCAUCAUUUAAAGAAAGCGUAAUAGCUCACUGGUCGAGUCGGCCUGCGCGGAAGAUGUAACGGGGCUAAACCAUGCACCGAAGCUGCGGCAGCGACGCUUAUGCGUUGUUGGGUAGGGGAGCGUUCUGUAAGCCUGCGAAGGUGUGCUGUGAGGCAUGCUGGAGGUAUCAGAAGUGCGAAUGCUGACAUAAGUAACGAUAAAGCGGGUGAAAAGCCCGCUCGCCGGAAGACCAAGGGUUCCUGUCCAACGUUAAUCGGGGCAGGGUGAGUCGACCCCUAAGGCGAGGCCGAAAGGCGUAGUCGAUGGGAAACAGGUUAAUAUUCCUGUACUUGGUGUUACUGCGAAGGGGGGACGGAGAAGGCUAUGUUGGCCGGGCGACGGUUGUCCCGGUUUAAGCGUGUAGGCUGGUUUUCCAGGCAAAUCCGGAAAAUCAAGGCUGAGGCGUGAUGACGAGGCACUACGGUGCUGAAGCAACAAAUGCCCUGCUUCCAGGAAAAGCCUCUAAGCAUCAGGUAACAUCAAAUCGUACCCCAAACCGACACAGGUGGUCAGGUAGAGAAUACCAAGGCGCUUGAGAGAACUCGGGUGAAGGAACUAGGCAAAAUGGUGCCGUAACUUCGGGAGAAGGCACGCUGAUAUGUAGGUGAAGCGACUUGCUCGUGGAGCUGAAAUCAGUCGAAGAUACCAGCUGGCUGCAACUGUUUAUUAAAAACACAGCACUGUGCAAACACGAAAGUGGACGUAUACGGUGUGACGCCUGCCCGGUGCCGGAAGGUUAAUUGAUGGGGUUAGCGCAAGCGAAGCUCUUGAUCGAAGCCCCGGUAAACGGCGGCCGUAACUAUAACGGUCCUAAGGUAGCGAAAUUCCUUGUCGGGUAAGUUCCGACCUGCACGAAUGGCGUAAUGAUGGCCAGGCUGUCUCCACCCGAGACUCAGUGAAAUUGAACUCGCUGUGAAGAUGCAGUGUACCCGCGGCAAGACGGAAAGACCCCGUGAACCUUUACUAUAGCUUGACACUGAACAUUGAGCCUUGAUGUGUAGGAUAGGUGGGAGGCUUUGAAGUGUGGACGCCAGUCUGCAUGGAGCCGACCUUGAAAUACCACCCUUUAAUGUUUGAUGUUCUAACGUUGACCCGUAAUCCGGGUUGCGGACAGUGUCUGGUGGGUAGUUUGACUGGGGCGGUCUCCUCCUAAAGAGUAACGGAGGAGCACGAAGGUUGGCUAAUCCUGGUCGGACAUCAGGAGGUUAGUGCAAUGGCAUAAGCCAGCUUGACUGCGAGCGUGACGGCGCGAGCAGGUGCGAAAGCAGGUCAUAGUGAUCCGGUGGUUCUGAAUGGAAGGGCCAUCGCUCAACGGAUAAAAGGUACUCCGGGGAUAACAGGCUGAUACCGCCCAAGAGUUCAUAUCGACGGCGGUGUUUGGCACCUCGAUGUCGGCUCAUCACAUCCUGGGGCUGAAGUAGGUCCCAAGGGUAUGGCUGUUCGCCAUUUAAAGUGGUACGCGAGCUGGGUUUAGAACGUCGUGAGACAGUUCGGUCCCUAUCUGCCGUGGGCGCUGGAGAAUUGAGGGGGGCUGCUCCUAGUACGAGAGGACCGGAGUGGACGCAUCACUGGUGUUCGGGUUGUCAUGCCAAUGGCACUGCCCGGUAGCUAAAUGCGGAAGAGAUAAGUGCUGAAAGCAUCUAAGCACGAAACUUGCCCCGAGAUGAGUUCUCCCUGACUCCUUGAGAGUCCUGAAGGAACGUUGAAGACGACGACGUUGAUAGGCCGGGUGUGUAAGCGCAGCGAUGCGUUGAGCUAACCGGUACUAAUGAACCGUGAGGCUUAACCUUACAACGCCGAAGGUGUUU
This 2933-nucleotide ribosomal RNA is filed under the name Escherichia coli. Its description in RNAcentral is "23S ribosomal RNA". It matches the Rfam family "Bacterial large subunit ribosomal RNA". Lineage: Bacteria; Pseudomonadati; Pseudomonadota; Gammaproteobacteria; Enterobacterales; Enterobacteriaceae. The record is from RNAcentral.